UGUACAGAAUAAAAAUAAUGAAAAGGAUGUA
This 31-nucleotide non-coding RNA is filed under the name Rattus norvegicus (Norway rat). The record is from RNAcentral. Lineage: Eukaryota; Metazoa; Chordata; Mammalia; Rodentia; Muridae.